UUAUCAAAAACAUUGUUUUUUAAAAAUUUUAGAAAAUAAGGCCUGCACACUGAAUAAUUUAAAGAGCCGCGGUAAUUUGACCGUGCAAAGGUAGCAUAAUCAUUAGUUUUUUAAUUGAAGACUGGAAUGAAAGGUUUAAUAAAAAAUAAGCUUUAUUAUUUUAAUAAUAAAUGAAUUUGUUGUUUUAGUAAAAAAACUAAAAUAUUGAUAAAAGACGAUAAGACCCUAUAAAGCUUUAUAAUAAAAAUUAUAUAAUUUUUUUAGAAUAUUAAAAAUUUUAUAUUUUAGUUAUUUGAUUGGGGUGAUUUAAAGAUUUAUUUAACUCUUUAUUAUUUGUUUUUAAUUAUAGUUAAAUUAAAGAUCCUGAUUUUUUGGAUUUUAAAAUUAAGUUACUUUAGGGAUAACAGCGUAAUUUUUUUGGAGAGUUCAAAUCGAUAAAAGAGUUUGCGACCUCGAUGUUGGAUUAAAAUAAUUUUUGGGG
This 481-nucleotide ribosomal RNA is filed under the name Chironomus sp. LRC-2002. RNAcentral describes it as "partial 16S ribosomal RNA". The record is from RNAcentral. Lineage: Eukaryota; Metazoa; Arthropoda; Insecta; Diptera; Chironomidae.